Non-coding RNA from Cinara cedri, 243 nucleotides. Lineage: Eukaryota; Metazoa; Arthropoda; Insecta; Hemiptera; Aphididae. The record is from the annotation of a GenBank genome assembly.
CCCCAAUAUACAAGGUGCCCACGAACGUUCCACGUGGGGGUCCGUCUCUGUCAAUAUCCGUAUCGAUCAACACACGCACGUGGAUGUGAAUUCAUCCUUACCCAUACGCAUAAUAAGUCCCGGCCUGCACAUUCCCCGUGAUGCCACUAUCUAUGUCCGGACAACGCUUACGACUGGUCGACGCCCCAAUCAAUGUACAUAUAUUUAAAAUAUAAAUUGUCUGUAAAUAUUAGUUUAUAAGCC